Homo sapiens (human) is the source of this 1703-nucleotide long non-coding RNA. The record is from Ensembl. Lineage: Eukaryota; Metazoa; Chordata; Mammalia; Primates; Hominidae.
GGCAACUCGCUGGGGUCCCCUUCCACCCUUUGAAAACUUUGUUCUUUGGUUCUUUGCAAUAAAUGUUGCUGCUGCUCACUCUUCGGGUCUGCACUGGCUUUAUGAGCUGUAACACUCACUGCGAAGGUCUGCAGCUUCACUCCUGGAGCCAGUGAGACCCCGAGCCCACCGGGAGGACCGAAGAACUUCAGAUGCGCCGCGUUAAGAGCUGUAACACUCACCGCGAAGGUCUGCAGCUUCACUCCUGAGCCAGCGAGACCACGAACCCACCAGAAGGAAGAAACUCGGAACACAUCCGAAUAUCAGUAGGAACAAACUCCGGACACGCCGCUUUUAAGAACUGUAACACUCACCUCGAGGGUCCGCGGCUUCAUUCUUGAAGUCAGGGAGACCAAGAACCCCCCAAUUCCGGACACAGGGGGACUUGGCUGCUUCCUGUUUCUAUCAUAGACGCAGCUGGCCUCAGAAUAUUCCACUUAUGGAUGAAAGAAUGAUAGUGUUAUUUUAUGGAAGAAUUUAAGAAGAUGUUGCGGUAUCAUCGACUUUAUUUUUUGUUCAUUCUGAAAAUCACAUCGCCAGAUCCAACACCUUUUUAUCCCAAUCACCAGUACAAGCCACCCGUAUCAGUGUACACUGUGGCUGACCGAUCCAUAGUGAUGCUUUGAGGUGUCUGAGUAGAUUUGGAAAUGCCCAUUCAGCCCUCAGAGCUCCUCUGCUUUAAGGGUGAUGGACUUCCUGUACCACUACGUAGUGCAUGAGUGCCAGCCACUGGUAUCUAGAACUGUGAUUAGUGAGGAAACACUAGGAGGAACAAACAACCCAACUCUUUUUAUCUAAUCUGUUGACUCCAAAGGGACCUUCUGCUUAUUCCAGUUAAAACUCAAGCUGCAAUUCAAAAUGAAAUCAGUAUCUUUUUUCUCUACUUUUCAGCAAAGCAAGAUGCUACCUUAUAAUUACCACGUAACAAUCAAUCGCAAACAUAGUGGCUUAAAGCAGCUCCUCUUUUAGCCUACAUAUCUGCAAACUGGCAGUCUGGACUGAGCUCAGCUGGAUGUUUUUUCUGAGCUGAUCAUGUAUGUAGGGUCUGCUGCUGGCUGGUUUAGACUGAUGGUGGAUGAGAAACCACAUGAAGAAGAGAGGCAUGAUGGUGGCAGAGUUCUGAAAGAGUCACACAGAAGGGCGUUGAGUUCGUGGCUUGAAAAUAGCAUCCUGUCACUUCUACCACAUUCUAUUUACCAGGCCAGCCCAGAUAAAGAUGUGAAGAAACAGACUCCAUCUCUUGAUGGGAGAAGUUGAAAAUCAAUGGAAAAUGGCAUGGAUAAGGAAAGGAGUGAUGAUUGUGGCCAUAUUUGUAAUGGCCAUAUUUGAUACCCUUUUCAGUUUUCCUAGCCACACUUCUCAUUGGCCAGGAAAAUUAAAUGCAUGUCAACACUGAAGAAAACAGAUCUUGGUUAAAAGCAAUGAUGUAGCUAAUAUCCCGUUCAGGUAAAAGAUUACUUAUAUAGUGUGAGACAGGCAUGAGGCAGAGAAGUGCUUACAGGUUGGUUUCUGCUUUGUUAGCAGAUUUACUUUUAGAUCAUAUACUACUUUGUUUUUACUGUUUUAUUGAGAAAAAAUAACAAAUAUUUCCAAAAUUUUGCAGCAUGCAACUCAGUGCUUCAGUUGGCAUUCAAUCAAAAUUUCCUUGAAAUAAAAAAAGACAA